RNAcentral lists this ribosomal RNA (440 nucleotides) under uncultured bacterium. RNAcentral describes it as "partial 16S ribosomal RNA". It matches the Rfam family "Bacterial small subunit ribosomal RNA", at positions 338 to 795 of the family's 1533-position model. The record is from RNAcentral.
CCUACGGGCGGCAGCAGUAGGGAAUAUUGCUCAAUGGGGGAAAGCCUGAAGCAGCAACGUCGCGUGGAGGAUGAAUGCUCUAGGAGUGUUAACCCUCUUUUUUAGAGAAGUUAAUGACGGUACCUAACGAUUUAUCACCGUCCAACACCGUGCCAGCAGCCGCGGUAACACGGAGGGUGCAAGCGUUACUCGGAUUAACCGGGCGUAAAGGGCGCGUAUGCGGGUUAGCAAGUCAGUUGUGAAAUCCUAUGGCUUAACCAUAAAAUUGCAUUUGAAACUGUUAUUCUAGAGUAUGGGAGAGGUAGGUGGAAUUCUUGGUGUAGGGGUAAAAUCCUUAGAGAUCAAGAAGAAUACUCAUUGCGAAGGCGGCCUGCUAGAACAUUACUGACGCUGAAGCGCGAAAGCGUGGGUAGCGAACAGGAUUAGAUACCCGAGUAGUC